GCCACCCACCACAUGACCUUAUCGCCACCCGCCAGGAGCUAUAUCUGCAGUCCACAUCUCACUUUUAAUUUUUUUCGGAAAGCUUUAGCGUGGUGGCACCCCGCCACCCAUCACCUGCAAGUCUAGCGGCCCGCCUUAAGCCUAUCUGCCACUUUAAUUAAUUAAAACCCAACAAAGGUUCACGGGAUAACCUUUUCCCUUCCCCAUCGCUGAAACAAUUACCCUUCAACCCCUUUCCUCUCCCCUAACCGCCGACCACCCCCUCACAUAUCACCCACCUUCUCGCCGUCAACCUCCAUAACCACCGAAUAACCCCUACUCUUCACUGCCGAUAUUACCCCUUAUUCCACAGACAACACAUCCCCUUCAACCAUUAGCCCACCAUGUUUUGUCCCCUACCCCCACUACCAAUAACCCACAUUGUCACCUAACCUUUUAUCACCAUUAAACUUUUUCACCCACUGGUUACCCACCGAAGAACAAAAGAAAAGAACCAUAAAAAAAAAAAAUCUCCAUUACCACCUACUCCCUCACUCAUCCGAUUUCAACCAUCCAUUCACCAUAUUUCACUUAAAGUCUAAAUUGUUCUUUGGGAUUCAAGUUUCAAACGAAAAAUCUCUCAAUCUCUUCUUAUUUCUCUCAAAUCCAAGAAUGUCAUGUUCAGGAUCAUGCAGUCGGCCAACAGGAAACGAGGCCAGAUACUCACCGAAGAGUGGGACACAGGCGGGUGAUGAGGUGUUGGAUGAUGCGGAGUAGAGCGAGGAUGACAGCUUAUGUCUUUUGUUUAUUUUUAUCUUUAUGCUGUUUUUAAUCCUCGUUUGUUGGUUUGUACUUAAAUACGUUAAACAGUGUUUGGUGUUUGCUUGAUUAGGUUGGUAUUAGUAGCCGCUUUCGUUCGCGUGUCCGAGAUUAGAGUUGUUUGCUGAGCGCGUUUCGAAUUGGAGGGCUUAUGUGGAAACGACUGGCACUUUGACAGUCUCACAUACUCAGCUAAGUCGUUUCCCUUUUUGUUGUUGUUGUAUAUUUUUUAUUUAUUUCAUUUGCAGUUUUUUUUAGGUAGUUGUUGAGUCGUAUUUUCGUUCUUGCAUUAGGGACAAUGCAAUCUCUAAGUGUGGGGAUGGGAUACUUGUAAAUAUUUGAGUCAUAAAUAUGAAAAAACACAAAAAAAUUAAAAAAAUUGAAAAAUCCAAAAAAAAUAGAAAAAUAGAAAAUGUCUUUCGAAUAAAAAAAAAGAAGUUUGCAUUUUUUUUAAGCGGAAAGUGAUAGAAAAGAUGAAUUUUUGCUCGGGUUCGAAUAAUAAUAAUAUGAGAUUAUAAUAAAUCGAGCUUGCGUCUAGUUAGGGAUAUGUGGAUAGGCUCGGGUUUGGUUUUAAGUCCCUUUGAUCUAAUAUACCUUAAUUGUCGGUUUACUAGUGGGUUUUCGCCUGAGAGAUAUGGGAAAUUAAAACCGCCAAUAAUAGUAUAAGGGGCACCGUUAUAAGUUAAAACUUUCAGAGUUUGUG
This 1501-nucleotide long non-coding RNA is filed under the name Helianthus annuus (common sunflower). RNAcentral describes it as "sRNA HanXRQr2_Chr09g0369451". The record is from RNAcentral. Lineage: Eukaryota; Viridiplantae; Streptophyta; Magnoliopsida; Asterales; Asteraceae.